UCUCUCUUGUCUUAGUCUAAUAAUCCUUACCUUUGCAAUGGCAGCAGGAUGCCUUUGACUUUCUCACUUACGGUUUCCUCCUCAGAAAAAUGGAGACAGUUUCUACCUCACAGGUGGUGAGGGACCAGACACCUGCAUGCACAGAGAAACACUAGAAAAGGCUGACUGGCCCAUGCUUUAAUAUCGUUCCCUUCCCUCCUUUCAUUUAUUUCUUUCUGUUUUGCAGUGUUCCAACUUUCCUUUCUUCUUGUAAACAUUCACAAUUAUAUGUCUACAGAUGAUUUGUGUUUCUGUCAAGCCUUUCCUUCUUUUCAUCAGUGCCCAUUUUCUGCAGAGGAUUCUAUGAGGGAGGUAAGAUGAUGUGAUAGUGAAAUGGGCAGAUUCUGGAAUCUGGUGGCAAACUAGGGUUCUUAUCCCUGACUCACCUCUAGCCUGACUUUAUUACAAACCAUGUGACCUAGAGAAGAUCAGCUGACCUCUCUGGCUCUUUGCUUCCUCAGUACUAAGAACUGAAUAAUCUCAGCACCUAUCUCAUGAGGUUUCUGUGAGGACAAAGUAUGAUGAUGCAGAAGCAAUCUGCUUGGUUCUUUUGUCUCUACAAAGGAAGUUUCUGUUUACUACCUGACUAGCUGGAAUUCCACCCAGAUGUGUCUAACUCCAAAGCUUGCCACAUCAAAGCCAUAACCUCAUGUGUUAAAGGAUCAUGUAAAAACAGCAAUGUGACUCUGAAGAGCACAGUAUUUUGAGGAGCUGAUCAUAUCCUAUAACGAAGUAGAACUGCUGAGACGUCAUCAACAAUUCUCGUGUGGAGAACCUUCCACAGAAGGCAAAACAAGAACAACAAAAAAACCAGAAGGAGACUGGGCUCCUGGAUGACCCUGUGGAACUGAGCUGUUCCAAAGCCCCGAAGUCUGUUUUGGAUGAAUAACUGAAUCAGGAGAACGCCUGUGGUAUCCUCUGAAGGAUCGAAGGAUUAUUUAGUUGUUGGGGCUGGUAAACCUCCACUGCACUGCUGGAGAGAAAGAAAAAGAAUCACUACCUAGUGGAAAAUGUUGUGCAAGCCUCUUCAUGUUUCUUCCCUCCAGAAAACAACUCAACAGAUGGAAGAACGGGUUCACAAACAUAUCAGCUCUCUCCUGCCAAGUUACUCACAGUAAUGCAUCCUGGUGAGACAUCAGAGAAAAAACAUCAGGACUUUUACAUGUAAGAAGAGAAAAAGAAGACCAACCUGAGAAAUAUCAACAUUAAGGGGACAGACCAGGAAGAGGAAUUUGUGGGACCAAAGAGGAUUAGUUAGAAAAGGAUAUUAGAAAGAAGCCCAGGGAGGCUGCGGCCAGGACAGAUAAUCUUGUGGAGAAUAUUGUGCAGUCAAGAAGCUGUGAUGUAUAAGCAGAUCCAUAUGGACUUGUUUUAAAGAGAUGAAUUAUUCAUAUAAACUUUGCAAUCCUUUUGGUGACAGUUGAGCAGAGACCUGAGUGAAGCAAUGGAGCCACCUAUUGGAAUACUUGGAGGUGAAAUCUGUUCAGCAGAGGAAACUGCAUAGACACAAAGCCGGGAAAAGGCAUGGCGUUUUCAAGUAGCAUCAAGGAGACCAGUGUAGAGUGGAAUGAAUAGGACACGCAAUUGGAAAGUAAAGCCAAGGAUUAUAUUAAAAUGGGCUUGUAAACUAAGGUAAGGGGUUUAGAUUUUAUUUUGACUGUGGUAAGCCGCUGGAGACUUUGAACGGAGAAAUAACACAAUGUAGCAUGUUUUGGGGCUAUAACAGACAAGAGUGAAAGUACAGUAUUUGUUAUGAGGGAGUUGCAGAAGUUAGAAAAGUGAAAGUUUAUAAAGAAAAGGAUCGAAGUAGUAGCUGUGUAGUUGGUGAGAAGUGAUUGGAUUUGGAAUGUACUUUGAAGAUAAAUUCAGAAUUUGCUAAUGGUUUGGGUGUGAAAUGUGAAAAACGUAUAUAAAGACUACAGGUUUGGGGUCUAAGUCAUAGGGUCAGUAGUGAUGUCAUUCAAUUACAUAUCUACAGAUUCAUGAAGAGAUGGCAGGAGGUAAAUUGGAGGGAAGGCAGAAUGACAGCCAAAUAACUCUUAUCAGGGCUGGACUGAAAGCAGGAAGUGGGUGAAGGUAGUCUCAUUGGUUGGCUAUGGAGUACGUACAGUAACCUGGUUUCAUCAUUUGCCUACAUUUUUUCAUACAUCAAUGUCUAAUUAAUGAUGUUUCAGUACGAUAUGAACUCACUGAUGUUUUGCUUUCACAGUGGUUCUUCCAAUGUCUUUUCAUUAUGUCUUAGCAGUCAUGUUAAUCCAUUAACUGCCUACAAAAAGUGGUUAAUUGUUGCCAUGUCCAGAAAAUGUGUUGAAGAAGCAGUUGGUUUCUUGGUUUCCUCUGCAUUGGAGCAUGAUUUGUGGUUACUUUUAUGGAUUGGGAAAAGGAGUGAAAUAAAUUAUGUUUUAAAUGAGCAUUGGACUGGGAGUCAGGCCUACUGAGUUUCAGACAGUCCCAACUCUACCAGCUAUGUGACCUGGGAUAGGAUGUCAAGCAUCUAAGGGCCUUGUUCUUCUCAUCUGCAUAGUUAGUAGCUUAGAUAAUCUAUAUAAUAGAAUAAUCCUUAGUACACUAAACUCUAGCCUGUGGUUAGACGGUGGUAAGAGUCUAAUCUAAAAA
Callithrix jacchus (white-tufted-ear marmoset) is the source of this 2655-nucleotide non-coding RNA. Lineage: Eukaryota; Metazoa; Chordata; Mammalia; Primates; Cebidae. The record is from RefSeq and is a predicted model, not a curated record.